CGGGAUAUAGAGGGUGAGAAUCUAGAUUAUAUUUAUUGCAAAUAUAUUUUUUUUAAUUUAUUUUCAUAUAUUUAAACAUAUUUUCUUAUAUAACUAUCAGUAUCUUACCUUGUACACACUGCAACAUUACAGCAACAACCAAUACUCCAAGCAAUAAUUGUGUGUUCAUCUUGCGCUGCCUGUCGGGCUUCUUGUAAGACGAAUCUGAUUGUACUGCUACAGUCGCGUACUUUAGUUAAGACGAGUAUGUUUUACAACGAAAUGGUUUCUUUUUAUAUAAAUACUUCCUAGUUGGGACAAAUCGAUUAAAUGUAGGAUUUAGAUACAACCAGUAACAAAACAUCAUAGUCUGACAUUUUUGAUAACUAUCCCUUAUUUGAUUAAUAACGGAUUCUUGCAAUACAUUUGAGCAAUAAGUGCUAUACCCGCAUAUAAUAAAUUGGUCCAUUAAUCGGAGGUCCAGUUAAAAUCACUAAGUCAGCUUAAAUAAUGUUUCUUGAACAAAAAC
This 508-nucleotide long non-coding RNA is filed under the name Mytilus galloprovincialis (Mediterranean mussel). Lineage: Eukaryota; Metazoa; Mollusca; Bivalvia; Mytilida; Mytilidae. The record is from RNAcentral.